CUAACCUGAAGAUCCUAUAAUGAAUUGCAAAUAUUAAUAGUGCUACCAGUAUCCAAUACCGAGAUCAUUGUAUCAAAAAUUGAGAAGUUAUAAGGUUUUAUCAUAUAAUUGCCUUAUCUAACAACUGAUUGCUUCUUCUUCUUUGGCCUGUUCGGGUCAAGAGAAGCUAAGUAUUGAGGACAGUUUCUCUUCCAGUGACCCUACUUCUUACAAUAGAAGCACUUUGUCUGACUUUGGUCGGCCUUGAACUUUAGCUUCUGGGUCAGACUCCC
Molecule: long non-coding RNA, 272 nt
Filed under: Elaeis guineensis (African oil palm)
Lineage: Eukaryota; Viridiplantae; Streptophyta; Magnoliopsida; Arecales; Arecaceae
Description: long non-coding RNA (EGUI_LNC009480)
Source: RNAcentral